This is a long non-coding RNA of Oncorhynchus kisutch (coho salmon), 307 nucleotides long. RefSeq lists it as uncharacterized. The transcript is spliced from 3 exons. The record is from RefSeq and is a predicted model, not a curated record. NCBI's taxonomy places the organism in Eukaryota, Metazoa, Chordata, Actinopteri, Salmoniformes, Salmonidae.
UGACCAGGAAUACGACUUUUCUGAAGCAGAUCAUAUAUCUGCACCACCCAGGGCAUUUGAACAGAUCCCAGAGGCCGACCCAAAACAACGCCGCUAGAGAAGAGGCAGAAACUCAAACAGGAAGCACCCGUGCUAAGCACUAUUCAACACUGGCCUCACCAAUCAGAAUCCACGCUUCAAGAUUGUUUUGAUCACGCGGACUGGGAUAUGUUCCUGGUAGCCUCAGAGAAUACUAUUGAUGUUUACACUGAUCCGGUCCACAGACGAUACAAUUGCCAUCGCACUGCACGCUGCCCUAUACCAUCUG